RNAcentral lists this ribosomal RNA (394 nucleotides) under uncultured bacterium. Its description in RNAcentral is "bacterial SSU rRNA". It matches the Rfam family "Bacterial small subunit ribosomal RNA", at positions 501 to 896 of the family's 1533-position model. The record is from RNAcentral.
CGACGUGCCAGCCGCCGCGGUAAUACGUAGGGUGCGAGCGUUAAUCGGAAUUACUGGGCGUAAAGCGUGCGCAGGCGGUUUUGUAAGACAGGCGUGAAAUCCCCGGGCUUAACCUGGGAAUUGCGCUUGUGACUGCAAGGCUAGAGUGCGUCAGAGGGGGUAGAAUUCCACGUGUAGCAGUGAAAUGCGUAGAGAUGUGGAGGAAUACCGAUGGCGAAGGCAGCCCCCUGGGACGUGACUGACGCUCAUGCACGAAAGCGUGGGGAGCAAACAGGAUUAGAUACCCUGGUAGUCCACGCCCUAAACGAUGUCAACUAGUUGUUGGGGAUUCAUUUUCUCAGUAACGUAGCUAACGCGUGAAGUUGACCGCCUGGGGAGUACGGUCGCAAGAUUA